AAGUUUAUUCUGUGACCGAAUACCAGUUUUGGAUUACCCACUCCCUGAGUGUAAGCUAGCCUUAGUAACUAGGUUCCAGGAGGCCGAGUGAACUCAACACCAAUAAACUCUCCUGGUGGCGUCCAGAAAAUCUCUGGCGUCGAACAUAA
Long non-coding RNA from Cotesia glomerata, 149 nucleotides. RefSeq lists it as uncharacterized. The record is from RefSeq and is a predicted model, not a curated record. The transcript has 3 exons. Lineage: Eukaryota; Metazoa; Arthropoda; Insecta; Hymenoptera; Braconidae.